UAAGGAAUAUUGGUCAAUGGACGCAAGUCUGAACCAGCCAUGCCGCGUGAAGGAUGAAGGUCCUCUGGAUUGUAAACUUCUUUUAUCUGGGACGAAAACGGGAUUUUUAUCUCAAUUGACGGUACCAGAGGAAUAAGCACCGGCUAACUCCGUGCCAGCAGCCGCGGUAAUACGGAGGGUGCGAGCGUUAUCCGGAUUUACUGGGUUUAAAGGGUGCGUAGGUGGGCGUAUAAGUCAGUGGUGAAAUCUCCGAGCUUAACUUGGAAACUGCCGUUGAUACUAUAGGUCUUGAAUUAUCUGGAGGUAAGCAGAAUAUGUCAUGUAGCGGUGAAAUGCUUAGAUAUGACAUAGAACACCAAUUGCGAAGGCAGCUUACUACAUAUAAAUUGACGCUGAGGCACGAAAGCGUGGGGAUCAAAC
RNAcentral lists this ribosomal RNA (420 nucleotides) under uncultured bacterium. RNAcentral's name for it is "bacterial SSU rRNA". It matches the Rfam family "Bacterial small subunit ribosomal RNA", at positions 355 to 773 of the family's 1533-position model. The record is from RNAcentral.